AACGGUAGCGUGGCCCUGCCAGCACUUGUCGGGUGUUAAACCGUAACUCUCCCAACUCAGCGGGCCUUUGCUCGUGGGAAGCCCCGCCGUUUACGGCGGGGAGGAGGUCACCCCCAGAAUAUAC
RNAcentral lists this unclassified non-coding RNA (124 nucleotides) under Halogranum amylolyticum. RNAcentral's name for it is "HgcC family RNA". The record is from RNAcentral. Lineage: Archaea; Methanobacteriati; Methanobacteriota; Halobacteria; Halobacteriales; Haloferacaceae.